This 315-nucleotide ribosomal RNA is filed under the name Triticum aestivum (bread wheat). Its description in RNAcentral is "partial small subunit ribosomal RNA". The record is from RNAcentral. Lineage: Eukaryota; Viridiplantae; Streptophyta; Magnoliopsida; Poales; Poaceae.
AUGGUACUGAAUCAACGCCAAUUCCCUCGCCAUGCCCCUUCCCUGGUGCUACACAAAGUGGAAUUUGCGCCGGUGUCAAGAGAACAAGUACAAGUUCCUCAUGUCAUGCCUAUAAGUUUCACUCCAAAUAAUAAAAUGUCCUCAAGGGUCGUACUAAAAAAAGAACUACAUCAGCAAGUUGAUUCAAUAAUCCAUCCUCUGUUUUGCCCCUCGUUGGUUAGUUAUUCAGUUAUGGGUCGGGGUGGGAGUGGGAGUAUUGAUGGCUGUUUGUUCUUCACAAAGUUUUGGGUGAAAGAGCAAAUUGGCAGCAAUUAG